Long non-coding RNA from Amphiprion ocellaris (clown anemonefish), 3223 nucleotides. RefSeq lists it as uncharacterized. Lineage: Eukaryota; Metazoa; Chordata; Actinopteri; Pomacentridae. The record is from RefSeq and is a predicted model, not a curated record. The transcript has 3 exons.
UUUAGCACAACAGAAGGUUCGGUUGGCAGGAGUCUGAAGACUGGACGAGAUGGUGUCACUUGAUCCCUGUGGAGAUUUAAUAAGAGACAUGAUUGAUCAAAACCUCUCGCACGCGGACAUUUCCACGAAUUUAUCACAACUAGGUGUGCAGCGAUGUUCUGAAAUGAGUGUCAGGAGAUUUUGGGCACAUCACAACAUUUCCAGGAGGGGACAUUUAUCCGACACACAAUUAGAAGUUGCUGUCAGCAGGGCAAUAAAUCAGACAGGGUCAACAUAUGAUGACCAGGUACCUGUCUGUGAUGGGAGUGGUUGCUGGUGAACGCCGGAUAGGGAGGAUUUUGAGAACAACGCAUUGUUCUUAUCACGAAAUGCGCAAACAUACCAAAGAACUACAGACUCUUCACAACCUGCUCAAACUCUUCGUACAGGACCUCACCACACGGAUCAAGAAGGUUUCCGUCUCAUUUCUACUCUGAAGCUCACCUUCUCCUGCUCAAACUGCUGACAAAUGUUUCUGCUGCUCUAAAGUCUGGUCUCCAGAACUUCCUAAAAACUCUCAAAGUCUCUUCUGCUGCAGGUUGCUUUGUAGAACUGUUCCAGAAAACCUCACUAAACCACAUGGAGAGGCCUCAAGAUAGUCGUCCAAAUGAAACCGUACAAAACCCAAACUAGCACAACCCAAACGCUAAAGUCUCCUGCAGCCUACCAGAGAACCUCUGAGAACAGAGAAUCAGGACAGGAACUCUUACCUUCUGGACAACCAACGCUGGUUCUCAAACAAGAAUACAGAAUGUGUUUGACCAAAAACCUCUAAACACUCACUACAGCCAAGAUAAAGACACAACUCAGCUGCAACAAAUCCACUAAUCACUGCACACAUUAGCACCAUGUGCUAACUGUGGCUAAAGAACCACAUUUACCAAGACAACUAUCCAGUACAAAGCCCUAAAACACACCAAGAAACACAUUAAAGAUGAUUUUACUGCUGGAAGCUGCAAGCCAACGCCUAAAGAACAAACUAAAGCAAUGGAGCCAAACCCGGUUCAAUGGUGAAGAGAAACAGAGGAAAUGUUUGAACUGCAGCUAAAUAAAGCAGGAAGACACUGAGCUGCUCAGGUGUUCCUGAUAACACCAAGCAGCCACCUGAACAGCCAAUAGGAACACAGCUUACUGGAAGUCCAGAGGGCUGGGUUAGUGAAGGAAAUUUAGUUUAAAGUUGAGGCAGAAAGUUAACAAAGAAAGUUGAAAACCACCUUCUGAUACCUGAAAUCUCUGAGUUUUCACACAAACAACGCCUGAACAUGUCAAACUGGUUUCAUAGUAGAACCAUCAUUGUAAAAACGUCAUAGUAUGGUGUGUUGCUCAAAAAACAUUACGACCCGGCUGUCUAGGGUCGCCGAGGAGCAACACAAAAACAGGACAAACGCUGGUUUCCAGGGGGUUAGGCAGCUAUUUAUUUGAAAGAGGAAGUUUACAACAACACAACAUGUGAGCAGAAAAAUCACAAAGUCUGUCUUUAGUUCAACUGAAAAUAUUAGUUUUUGUCUUUUUUAUUGACCAAACUUUUCAGGAAGUAGAUGAAGAAUAAUUAAAGCUCUCAUGUAGAAGUCCAACUUAUUUUGGAUCCUUGUGGAAAGUUUAAUCUUAAGAGUUUGUAAAGCUGUUGAGUUUUUAGAGUCACAUGGAUUGUUUUGACAUUUAAUAUCCGAGUCCUGAAAUAAAAUUACAGUUCUGGAUUUCUGUCAUAUAGUCUGGACUAAACAAAUAACAGCAGCAUAAACCUCAAACGUCAUUAUGAGGAGUCUGGAUUGAGGUUUCUCACUUGAUAAUGAUCAAAACAUGAAAUUUAGGUUGAUUUAAAGGAAUAUUUCACCUUAAAUCUUUGAAUGUUGACCUAAAAGGUUGGUUUCAGGAAGUAUUCCACCUACAAGGUCCUCAAACAUCCACCUUAAAGGAACAUCCCACCAAAAAUCCUUGGACAUGCACCUAAAAUGUUGGUUUCACCAAGUAUUCCAUCCAAAAUCCUAGACCAAAAAAUCUUGGUGUAAAGGAGUAUUCCACCUUAAAUAUAGACCUAAAGGAUGGUUUGGAGUAAUAUUCUACUCUAAAAUCUUCCAAUGUUGACCUAAAAGUUUGAUCUGAUGGUAUAUUCUACCCAACAUCCUGGAACAUUUACCUAAAAGCUUGGUUUAAUGGCAUAUUCCCAGAAGAACCCUUGAACAUUAGGCUUAAUGGUAUAUUCCACCCAAAAUACUUGUACAUACACCAAGAAGUCAGUGUAAAGGAAAUGUAGACCUAAAAGGAUUGUUUAAAGGAAUAUUUAAAUGAUUAUUUUCAUUAUUUAAUAAUCUGUCAUCAGUCAGAACCCUGGCAAACUUAUUUUCAUCAGUUUUUUUUAGUGGAAGUCACAAAUAAAGGAGCUCUUGGUUUUUCCCGGUGUUAGUGAGUCAAAAGCUGCUGUUUCAACACAGACACGUUCACAUGCAUCCACAAACCUCUCAGCACUCAAACACCCACAGACAGGCGGCCGGCUGGACCGAGGCUCGGCGGCGUCAUCAGACCCACAAGUCGGGGAGUCGGUGAACUUGUUGGUCCGGUUUGAAGGCCUCCGUGUGGUCCAGUAGAAGUCCACGUAGUCGGUGUUGGCUUUAAACCGCAGCGACUGGCCGCCAUCAGGUGGACCGGCUCGUCCUCGUAGGACUCCUCCUGUAGCCUUGAGGGGACCACAGGAACAUUCAGUAGCUGUUGGAGUUCUUCCUGUCAGGCUCGUGGUAGAACGACUCUGAAGAAUCUUGUACUUGUCUUAUCUGGAACAAUCUAACAGCCUAAACUGUUAACAGCGGUGUAAAGAAGCAAACACACAGGCAUAGAUUAGGACUCAAACUAGAUUUAUUUUAGAAAACAAAUCAGCUUAGAGGCAUUCGUUCACACGUGGCUGAAUCGGAGGCUGUCCAAUCAGAUUCGAGGUCUUCACUCUGUAGGUUGGUUGUUCGGUGAGACUCUUGGACCUCCAUCAGCUGACGUGGAUGUUUGAUGGUCUCCCUCUCUAGUGCCAGAUGAUUCAUCCAUGAAUUCAGCAGCUACAGACUGAAAUGAAGCUCAUGCUGCUGUUAUUGAAUUCCUGUUCCAGAUCAAAUGUUCAGAGCUCACCUUGAAUGCAGCCGUCUGCUGUCUGAUAGCUUUUCUCAUUGUAGUCGUCAAUAAAGUCUUUUUCCUCAUGUCA